Hibiscus syriacus is the source of this 190-nucleotide small nuclear RNA. RefSeq annotates it as U2 spliceosomal RNA. NCBI's taxonomy places the organism in Eukaryota, Viridiplantae, Streptophyta, Magnoliopsida, Malvales, Malvaceae. The transcript has a single exon. The record is from RefSeq and is a predicted model, not a curated record.
AACCUUUCUCGGCCUUUCGGCUAAGAUUAAGUGUAUUAUCUGUUUUUAUCAGUCUAAUCUGGUAUGUGGGCCAUUGGACCAUAUGGUAUUAAUUUUUUUUUUAGGGGUAGAUCCUAUCACAGUAAGCUUGCCACUGGGGCUCUCGUGUGUCGCCCAAGCUUCGCAAUUGCUCGGGCCUGGUGUACCCCAC